RNAcentral lists this long non-coding RNA (2496 nucleotides) under Harpegnathos saltator (Jerdon's jumping ant). RNAcentral's name for it is "uncharacterized LOC112588497". The record is from RNAcentral. Lineage: Eukaryota; Metazoa; Arthropoda; Insecta; Hymenoptera; Formicidae.
UAUUAUAUAACGUGUAUCCGUUAAGUUUCGAUGACGAGACGUUUCUCGCGAUCGAAGAGGAAACGUGGACCAAUGGAAAACUGAUUGUGUCAUGCUCGAAGAGAUAAAUAUUUGAAACAUCUACUUGAAGACUGCAAUGAAGAAUCAGAGUUCGAAGACGACAGUGAAGACGAGAACUGGCUGCCGGGUGAGGCCUUAGCCGAAGAGCCGCCAUCAGAUGUGGAAACUGCAGGCGAGACGUCCGAAGGAGAAGGAGAGAGCGAUGUUGAGUCCGACGAGAGUGAAAGCGAGAGUCAAGCGGCAGGUACAUCAGCAGCGGCGAGGCAGAUGUGGCGCCAGUGGCAGAUGAAGCAGGUAUAGAAAAUGCAAAUGCGUACAUAGCGAAAGACAAAACCGUUUGGAGUAAGACGUCGCCUCAAGUACAUCAAACUCCUUCUCGCAAUGUUUUACGCCAAAGAAGUGGCUCACAUAGAUCUACAGAAACUUCAAUAGGAGAUACUUUCAAAAUAAUUAUUACAGUCGAAAUGGUAGAUCUUAUUGUUUGGUAUACUAACAAGAAAGCCAACACAGUAUAUGAUAAUUAUAACGCGAAGAAUUCGCGGAUUCGCAGCGAUUGUGGAUGCCAGUAACUAUAUAAGAAAUGUAUGCGUUUAUUGGGGUUUUAAUUUGUUCUGGGGUUAAUAAUUCAAAUGUUGAUCAUACAAGUGAAAUGUGAAAAAGUAUUUUGUACCCUCUUUACCGCGCGUCAAUGGGUAUCGGCAAAUUUUGUUCUAAUGUGAUUUAUUCGAUUCGACGACGUCGAUAGACGCCAGACACAAGCAGAAAAGGAUAAAGCUGCUCUUAUACGUGACAUUUGGACAAUUCGAACUUGAGUAAUAUGUACAAGCCGACAGUAAAUUUGACAAUUGAUGAGCAGCUUUAUCCUUUUUCCGAGGCCAGACAAAGUUUACGCAAUAUAUACCUUCGAAGCCAGCUAAGUACGGGAUCAAAAUUUGGUGGAUUUGCGAUGCCGAGAAUGCCUACCCUCUGUAUGGGAUUAUUUACUCAGGAAAAACUGGAAAUGUUCGUGAAAAAAAUCAAGGAGAGUUGUAAAAGAACUUGCAGCAUCAUUCAAAGGGAGUGGCAGAAAUAUUACCAUGGAUAAUUAUUUUACUACUUUGCCUCUUGCUAGACACUUAUUGCCAUGGAAAUUAACUAUUGUUGGUACUUUGGGAAAAAAUAAGCCUUACAUUCCAAAACAAAUGGCUCCCUAUAAAUCUAGAGAAGAAUAUUCUACUCUCUUUGGUUUGGUACAAACAUGUUGCACUCUGCUCGUACGUGCCGAAGAAAAACAAAGCUGUAGUUUUACUAUCGACAAUGCACUCUGAUUCUGUUGUAAAUGACGAUGAAAAGAAAAAGCCUCACAUGAUCACUUAUUAUAAUAAAUACAAAACUAGGCAUAGAUACAAUGGAUCAAAUGGUAAGGCGAUAUAUCACACACAGGCGCACUGAGAGAUGGCCUCUUGCUGUGUUUUUCAAUAUCUUAGACGUAGGCGCUCUUGCUUCAUAUAUAAUUUAUUAUGAGAACAACAAAAUGAUCCAAAAGAAAAUUAAUCAGCGACGUACUUUCUUGCGUCAACUGAGUGAGGAACUGGCAAAACCUUUAAUUGAAGGUCGUUCUGUGAACUACAAUACAAAAAUUGUGAUUGAGAGCGUGAUCGGGUGUUACGUCCACGUAACUUUAAACAACAUUUCUAAAUUCGAUCAUAAAUUCAACAAUAACGUUUAUUUCAACAAUAACGUUUAGACCGGAUAUUUUGGCCACUUGAUCCUCGGUCUAGACGUAAUAAAUAUGACACCGAAUGCUUCUUCAUCGGAGAAGAUUAAAAGAACAAUGGAUAGAUAAUAAAUACCAUAACCGCGAUUAUUGAUUAUCACUCUUAUAUCAUGAGAAACAUCUUUCCCCUACUACUAAUAAGAUGACAAGAACUCGCGCGGGGGUAUCUCACCACCUUAUCUCACCUGCUUAUAAAAGGCGACGCGCAAACCAGUGGAGCGAUUCAGUCAUAGACUCAUUGACUCAUUCAUUCAUUCAUUCAUUCAUUCAUUCAUUCAUUCAUUCAUUCUUGCAUCAAAUCACUUCACGACUCAAACACACAGAGAAAACACUCUUAACACUCUGAUCAAUUGACUCUCAACUGUAAAAGUUUAAAAUCUAAUUCACACAAACCAGUCCGUCCCGAGGUAAAUUAGUUAAAUCUAUUGACCUCAAAAAAGGAUAAACACAUAUACAUUCACGAUUCACGACGUGACACGGGCUACAGCUUGCUCCUUCCGCUGUUUCUGAAGAACAAACUCAACCUCGAGACAGUACUGGUAGGAAAAAAAAUUACAGGUUCUUGUCAUGUUUGCUACAAAGAAACGAUCAAAAGACGCAGGAAAACGCGAAAAUGUUGUUCAGUUUGCGAAAAGCCUGUUUGCGAUGAACACUGUGUAUCGACAAUUAAAUGUAUUGAU